UAGGAUGUCGCCGAAACUCGUUGAUACAUUUGUACAAUUUUAUGACCUUUGUGCAGCUGCUAUUUAUGGGGGCGGGGUGUGGUUGUGGGCGGUACUUUUAUAUGAUAUAGUCCGUGUAACUGAUUAACAACAACUGUUCUCCUGAUAGCUCUAUAAUCUGUUACCUGUACCUGAUCCUGGUCUCUCUUCGGACAGUGUGCCCAGUCCAUCCCUGUGUGUAUGACCUUGUUACUGUCUCUGUACUGUGUCCAUGACCCUGCAACUGCCUCGGCGACCAGUGCCUUCUCUAGUUACCCUAUGCUGCACCAUCUAUAUAUCUGACAUUGCUCACUGUGCUUUUUUCUCUGGUCUGUGCUCCUGUUUCCUGGAUUUUUGCCCUCUUAUCCUUUGCUCAAUUGUCACCUAGCAUCCUCUGCUCGCCUGUCUCUUUGCAUCCUCUGCUCACCUGUCUCUUUGCAUCCUCUGCUCACCUGUCUCUUUGCAUCCUCUGCUCGCCUGUCUCUUUGCACCCUCUGCUCGCCUGUCUCUUUGCACUCUCUGCUCGCCUGUCUCUUUGCAUCCUCUGCUCACCUGUCUCUUUGCAUCCUCUGCUCGCCUGUCUCUUUGCACCCUCUGCUCGCCUGUCUCUUUGCACUCUCUGCUCGCCUGUCUCUUUGCAUCCUCUGCUCACCUGUCUCUUUGCAUCCUCUGCUCACCUGUCUCUUUGCAUCCUCUGCUCACCUGUCUCUUUGCAUCCUCUGCUCGCCUGUCUCUUUGCAUCCUCUGCUCACCUGUCUCUUUGCAUCCUCUGCUCACCUGUCUCUUUGCAUCCUCUGCUCACCUGUCUCUUUGCAUCCUCUGCUCACCUGUCUCUUUGCAUCCUCUGCUCACCUGUCUCUUUGCAUCCUCUGCUCACCUGUCUCUUUGCAUCCUCUGCUCGCCUGUCUCUUUGCAUCCUCUGCUCGCCUGUCUCUUUGCAUCCUCUGCUCGUCUGUCUCUUUGCAUCCUCUGCUCGUCUGUCUCUUUGCAUCCUCUGAUCACCUGUCUCUUUGCACUCACUGCUCGCCUGUCUCUUUGCACUCUCUGCUCGCCUGUCUCUUUGCAGCCUCUGCUCGCCUCUCCCUGGGCAUUCUCAUCUUUUGUUUUGUGUCUCCUGGCAUCCUACUUUUCCACUGUUCUGACACAUCUAAUGUCCUGUACCCAGGGCUCCUGUACACUGUAGUGCCAUCUUUUGGCUCUUGACCUGUGUUGUGCUAUUUUGAGCCUUUAGUUUUACCUUUUGCCCUGUGUGAUAUCCAGAACCCAGGUGGUUUUUACCUUUCCCCACAAUGUCACUGACUUUGGUCCUUGAUCGUCAUCUUGUGCUCCCUGCUGUGGGGUGUACAGUGUCACUCCUUCUUCUGUUGCGCUGGCUGCGGAACAGGCGAUUGCAUCGUCUCAUGAAAGAGGUUCGGGAUCGUAGGGAGCAGGCACUAAGCAAUAUGGAGGUGGCAGUGAGGAGGUUAUCUUCAGAGAAUCCAGUUGCAGACCCCGGAGCUCUCUUGUCUCUGUCUCUCUCAGAGCUCUCUAAUAAACUGAACGAUGGAUCUCUCUCACCUGAGAUGGUGCUUCACGUUUACAUGAAGAGGGCUUUGGACACAACACGUGAGCUGAACUGUUUGACGGAUUACCUGUGUGAGUGUGAGGCUCAGCUUAAGGAGGUCAAUAAGCAGAAGAUGAAGGGUCUGCUGUAUGGUGUUCCGAUCAGCUUGAAGGACAACUUUAACUACAAGGGACAUGAGUCUACUUUGGGUCUAAUUAAGAACCUGAACCGUCCGGCCUCUGAAGACUGUGUGAUUGUGCAGGUCCUAAAGAAACAAGGAGCAAUCCCAUUUGUGAAAACCAACAUCCCUCAGUCCAUGUUAAACUAUGACUGCAGUAAUCUUAUCUUUGGACGGACACUAAAUCCUCUUAACCACAAGAAGACGCCUGGAGGAUCCUCUGGAGGGGAAGGUGCUCUCAUUUCAGCUGGGGGGUCCAUUUUGGGCUUUGGCUCAGAUAUCGGGGGAAGUAUACGAUUUCCCUGCUCUUUCUGUGGACUGUGUGGCUUGAAGCUAAGUGGUAACAGAAUCAGCAAGAUUGGUGUGAUGUCCAGCUCACCUGGACAAAAAUCAGUGAUGGCAAUGACUGGACCGUUAGCGAGGGAUGUGGAGAGCCUGGCUCUGUGUAUGAGAGCGCUACUCUGUGAAGAAAUGUUCCGACUGGACCCAACCGUCCCCCCAAUUCCCUUCAAUGAGGAGGUAUAUUCAAGUUCCAAGCCUCUUUGCAUUGGAUAUUAUUACACUGAUGGUUUCACAAUGGCAACACCUUCUAUGCAACGCGCAGUGAUGGAGACCAAGGAGCUACUGGAGAAGGCGGGUCACAAGCUGGUGCCCUUUGCUCCCCCAUCGAUAGAAAAGGCUAUUAUUGAGCUGGCAAUGAAGGGAAUCCUGGCAGAUUCAGCCUCAACCUUCCUGGAUAACUUCAAACAUGACCUGGUGGAUCCAAAUUUGAAAUCCCAGAUUAAUAUGUAUUUGCUUCCAAAUUGGCUUAAGAGUUUACUGUCCAUGAUUGUGAAGCCAGUGUAUCCGAGGGUAGCAAAACUUGUGAAGAAUUUAACUGGAGUAAGGUCUGUUAAAGCCCUUUGGAAGCACUAUCAAGAUGUAGAGGUGCUGUAUCUUACACAAUCCUGUACAAUUUAGUGGACUUUCCUGCAGGGGUAUUGCCAGUUACCACUGUCACAAAGGAGGACGAGGAAGCCCUGAAAUCGUACAAAGGUCACUAUAAGGAUCCCUGGGACAAACUGUUAAAGGAGGCCAUGACAGACAGCGUGGGCCUUCCAGUUGCUGUGCAAUGUGUAGCCUUACCGUGGCAGGAAGAGCUGUGUCUGCGCUUUAUGAAGGAAAUAGAGACCCUCAGACAGAGGAAGAGAGAAUAACUGGAGAUAAAAU
This is an RNA transcript of Bombina bombina (fire-bellied toad), 2948 nucleotides long. It is a transcript of the gene named vitamin D3 hydroxylase-associated protein, with no coding region annotated. The transcript has 14 exons. NCBI's taxonomy places the organism in Eukaryota, Metazoa, Chordata, Amphibia, Anura, Bombinatoridae. The record is from RefSeq and is a predicted model, not a curated record.